Molecule: ribosomal RNA, 2718 nt
Filed under: Triticum aestivum (bread wheat)
Lineage: Eukaryota; Viridiplantae; Streptophyta; Magnoliopsida; Poales; Poaceae
Description: partial small subunit ribosomal RNA
Source: RNAcentral
AUGUCAAUUCAUUGGCUUCAGCUGCAAUGCACAGGUUGCCAACAAUUGACCACUGUACAGUAUCAGACUCCGAAGUUCUGGCCCGGGCAUGACAUAUUCUUGACAACACAAGGCUCUGGAGACAUGGGAUGUGCUGCUUCCAGAUUGGAAGAUGAGGAGGCUGUCAAGAUGUGCCGGGACAGGAGGGACUUCAUCAAGCAGGCACUGGAUCAGCACAACCGUUUUGCGUCCUCUCACAUCGCCUACAUCGAGUCCAUGAAAUGUGUCUCGAUGGCCCUGCAGCGGUUCGUUGCUGGAGAUGAUCGGCACGAGCUCAUUUUUGACCCAUUCAUUUCUCCUGUCAAGCAACAGAAGCCAGAGAUGCUCGGCCUUCCUUAUGGUUCGUAUGAGAAGAGGACUGUUCAUGUCGCGAAGUACUUGAUGUCAGGACCAAACCCAUCAGUGUCAGUUGAAGAGGCUCCACGGCCCGUGGAAACAAUCCGUGUUGAGUCACAUUACCCUGUGGAUGGCUAUGCUGGCACAGAUAGAUUCUUCCCAGCCAAUUCCUCACCGAUGAGGCCAUCUUCUCACUAUACACCUUAUGACAGGCCAAGCUAUGUAGCUCCAUCACCCCAGGAACCAGUGAGGAAUGCUUAUUACAUGCCACCUUAUGACAGGCCAAGCUAUGUAGCUCCAUCACCCCAGGAACCAGUGAGGAAUGCUCAUUACAUGCCACCUUAUGACAGGCCAAACUACGUACCUUCAUCACCCCAGGAUCCAGUGAAGAAUUCUUCUUAUUACAUGCCACCUUAUGCUCCAUCACCCCAGGAGCCAGUGAGGAAUUCUUAUUACAUGCCACCCUAUGAGAGGCCAAACUACGUACCUCCAUCACCCCAGGAGCCAGUGAGGAAUUCCUCUUAUUACACGCCACCUUAUGACAGGCAAAGCUAUCCACCUGCUCCACCCCAGGAUCCAAGGAGGACAUCUUAUUACGCAUCUCAUGACAGGCCAAACUACCCACCCUCAUCACCCCAGGAACCAGAAUCAUCACCGUGGGACUCCUUCUGGAAUCCAUUCUCGUCGCUGGACAGCUAUCCGUACCCGCGCCCUCGGAGUAGCUAUGACAAUGUGGUCACUGACGAUGAAUUGGCACGGUUACAGCGGGUAAGAGAGGAGGAAGGAAUCCCAGAACUCGAAGAGGAAGAUGAUGAAUGUCAAAAACAUGAACAAAUGCACAACAAAGAGGGGGAGGGGGAGGGGGAGGAUGAUGAUGAUGAAGAAGAAUCUGAUGAGGAUGAUGAUGAAGAAGAAGAAUCUGAUGAAUGUGAGCAUUCAGAUGACCAAAGAUGUAUGGCUUCUAACGAGGCUCGCCCAGGAAAAUCUGAAGUCAAUGUCAAGCAAGAACAAAAGGGACAUCAAUCCAAAGGUGUUCAAUGCGCAGGCUCAUCCGAGCCCCGAAAUGCAGUAGACCAUGAGAUCAAGGCACAUAAGAAAGAACUAAUGAGGAACAAAGUAGCAAAUGCAGAAGAAACCCCAGGUUUCACUGUGUAUCUGAACCGAAAGCCAACGAGUUUGGUCGAGGCUAUGAAAGAUAUUGACAGUCAGUUCUUGGGGAUCUGUAGCGCUGCUCAGGAAGUCUCACGGAUGUUGGAGGCAAGUCGAGCUCAAUACUCAACCUCAAAUGAUCUCUCUGUAAAGAUGCUAAACCCAGUCGCACUUUUGCGAUCUGCAUCAAUUCGAUCAUCAUCUUCCCGCUUCCUUCUUGCUUCCUCUGGCUCAAUAGAUGAUCUUUUUGACAAUGAUACAAGCAGCUGUUACUCUGAAGAAUCUUGCAGCACAAUGUCUGGAAGUCAUCACUCCACUCUUGAUAGACUGUAUACAUGGGAGAAGAAAUUAUACAAAGAAGUGAAGGUGGGUGAGCGAUUAAGACUUGAGUAUGAGAAGAGGAUGGCACAUUUGCGGAGCCAGGAUGUGAAAGGGGAGGAGCCUUCUUCUGUCGAUAAGACUCGUUCAGCGUUGAGAAGCUUACAAACUCGGAUGAAGGUGUCAAUACAAACUGUUCAGUCAAUAUCAAGAAGAAUUGAAGUUCUAAGAGACGAGGAGUUGCACCCUCAACUUAUGGAGCUUAUCCAAGGACUGUCGCGGAUGUGGCGAGCCAUGGCUGAACGCCACGAGGCUCAGAAGCGGACCAUCGACGACGCCAAGCUUCUCUUCCUGCAACACCGCGCAUCGGCCGCGACCACCGUGGCUCUCGGUCCUCCAGAGGCGACGACGCCGCCUCCCGCCGCCGUCGCGCUCGAGUGCGAGGUGCGAGCCUGGCGCGGAGCCCUGGACGCCUGGCUAUCGGCGCAGCGCGCGUACGCGCGCGCCCUGGCCGCCUGGGCACGACGCUGCCUGGGCAUUGGCGCGGGCGCCGCGGCGCCGCGCACCGUGCCGCCGGCGUUCCUGGUGUGCAUGGAGUGGGGGCUCGUCGUCGAAGCGGCUUCAGAGGCGCGGGUGAUGGACGGGCUGGACUUCUUCGUGGCCGGCGUAGGGUCGGUGUGCUCGGGAGCCGCCGCGGGCAUGGAGGGCAUGGCGGGGCGCGUGCUCUGCGCCGGCUUGGGAGCCGUCACCGGCGCCAUGGCCGAGUUCGCCGCGGCAUCGGCGGACGGGUACGACGCCGCGGUGUCGGCGGCGCUGGCCGCGCGCGCGCCGGAGGGCGGGGAGGAGGAAAACGCGGGAGGACCGCCGCAACAGUAG